UCCUCGUAUUUUAAUAAAACUCCUAAAUGCCUUCUAGUGGGUUUGAUGAGCAACAAUCAUGAAACAGUAUACACGGAUCAAAAGAAAAUACACCCUCAAUUUACUGUGUGCUUGACCUCUGUGUCAGGAAAUAUUGGUUCAAGUUGGCCCUAUUUGUAGCAAAUAAACUGGUGACCUCUAAAUGAGUUUAAGCCAAAGCUCAAGCAUGAGAAACAGAUUCUGCUGUGGCCUCAUUUAUUAACAAAGAUAAAACAAAAUGAGGUUUGUGGAAAGCUAAGUACCCUAAUAUACUGCCAGCAUGCAUUUUUUAAAAGGCUUUAAUAAAUAAAACCAAACAAGUGUCAAUGUAGUACAAGCAGUUUAGAUUAUGCCUGAGAGAAUUUAAGAAUUUUAAUUUAUUUUUAUUUUUUGACAAGAAGCAUUGCUUUGUUCCUUGAUUUAGAUUGGCAGCUCAAAUCGUUUUGAAAACCGUAUCGGAGUAAUCAUUUUCAGGGUAGUAUAUCUCUGAUUUUGUAUUCCUGACCAUUGAUAGAUGAAAAACUCUGGCUGGUCUUUUACCCAGCACAAUAAUUAGUGGUUUGUGUCAUAUAAAUCAGUUUUUUUUAGACCUUGUUGCUUGUUUGAUAAAUGUUUAUGGAUAAUGAGGUUAUUACAUGAUUAACGUGAAGAGAAUCUUACCCGACACAUAUCUUACGCAAGGCACGUAUCUUGCCAUAUGUGUCAACUGACACCUGAAUUUUAUUUUGGUUUAACAU
Poecilia latipinna (sailfin molly) is the source of this 755-nucleotide long non-coding RNA. RefSeq lists it as uncharacterized. The record is from RefSeq and is a predicted model, not a curated record. The transcript has 2 exons. Lineage: Eukaryota; Metazoa; Chordata; Actinopteri; Cyprinodontiformes; Poeciliidae.